AACGCUAGCUACAGGCUUAACACAUGCAGGUCGAGGGGCAGCAUAAAACUAAGCUUGCUAGUUUUGAUGGCGACCGGCGCACGGGUGAGUAACGCGUAUCCGACCUGCCCAUGACUCGGGCACAGCCGCUCGAAAGAGCGAUUGAUUCCCGAUAUGUCUUUGGAGUAGAUCCUUGGAUGAAAGAUUCAUCGGUCAUGGAUGGGGAUGCGUAGGAUUAGGUAGUAGGCGGGGUAACGGCCCACCAAGGCAACGAUGGAUAGGGGUUCUGAGANGAAGGUCCCCCACACUGGAACUGAGACACGGUCCAGACUCCUACGGGAGGCAGCAGUGAGGAAUAUUGGUCAAUGGUCGAGAGACUGAACCAGCCAAGUAGCGUGAAGGAUGAAGGUUCUAUGGAUUGUAAACUUCUUUUAUAAGGGAAUAAAACCACCUACGUGUAGGUGCUUGUAUGUACCUUAUGAAUAAGCAUCGGCUAACUCCGUGCCAGCAGCCGCGGUAAUACGGAGGAUGCGAGCGUUAUCCGGAUUUAUUGGGUUUAAAGGGAGCGUAGACGGGAGAUUAAGUCAGUUGUGAAAGUUUGAGGCCCAACCUUAAAAUUGCAGUUGAUACUGGUUUCCUUGAGUGCGGUUGAGGUGUGUGGAAUUCGUGGUGUAGCGGUGAAAUGCUUAGAUAUCACGAAGAACUCCGAUUG
This 691-nucleotide ribosomal RNA is filed under the name uncultured Bacteroidales bacterium. RNAcentral describes it as "bacterial SSU rRNA". It matches the Rfam family "Bacterial small subunit ribosomal RNA", at positions 32 to 715 of the family's 1533-position model. The record is from RNAcentral. Lineage: Bacteria; Pseudomonadati; Bacteroidota; Bacteroidia; Bacteroidales.